Non-coding RNA from Phrynosoma platyrhinos (Desert horned lizard), 72 nucleotides. Lineage: Eukaryota; Metazoa; Chordata; Lepidosauria; Squamata; Phrynosomatidae. The record is from the annotation of a GenBank genome assembly.
GCCAGUGUGGUAUAGAGGCUUGAAUGUUGGACUAUGACUCUAGAGAUCAGGGUUUGAUUCCCAGCUUGGCCA